CUCCCAACCCACUAACCCCUCUGAACGGAUCCCCCACUCCGUCCUAAUUCAUUCUCUUCCGUUACCCGCACUAAAACGUGCCCUAAUGGCCAUUAGAACACCGGAAACGGCCGCCAUGAAGACGCCAUAAUUCCGACGACGCCCUGCGUUGUCCCGACCUCCCCUCCAUCCUAUAAAAGGCCCCCUCCCCUCACAACUCUCUCCUUGCCCGAACCCCUCUAAGCUUAUGCCCCUACCCAUCGUCGUGAAUUGCUGACCGGAGUUACUUGACACGGCUGCUGUUCGUAGAAGGUUCCGGCCAGUUCGAGCCGGAGCACGAGUUUCAUGUUGUACGCUUCCGGCCGGAUUUCCGCCCAACUCCGGCGACAUCUAGCAGCCACCUGAAGGCAAACCAGGAGCCUACGUCGUGUCCUGAAGACUCCACGACUUCCUCUCCCUCGUCCACUUCUGUUACGUUGCCCGAGAUCACCGCAUCACCUCACGUCCGAACCGCCGCUGCCGGCCAUCUCCAUCUCCGAUAUAUCGUAAAGUGAAGGAGUGACGAUAACGAAUAGACAAUCAACUUCAAGAAUCAGAUCUCAACAGAUUAAGAGACGAUAGGGUUAUGGUCUAUACUCAACGAGCCCAGUGGCGUUGAUGGAGCCCUAACUUAGCGACUACGUAUUAUUCCGUUGUAUUAUGUGCCAGAAUUGAGCUGUGUCGAUGGUAUGUAUUUAUUUAAUUUUGGAUGUACCAUUGUAGUAAAAUAAUGUAUGUUUUACUGAUGUUCAUUUUUGUUACUGUGUGUGCUAGCUAUGAUCCAGGGAUAGCACAGUAAGCACAGAGACUUGGAUUUUACCAAAUCCGGGUUGUGACAAUGUGUUAGUCUCUUUUUCAUGAACUUAAUACUCUAGAUGCAGGUAGGAGUCGGUCGAUGUGUGGAGUAAUAGUAGUAGAUGCA
This is a long non-coding RNA of Triticum dicoccoides, 940 nucleotides long. RefSeq lists it as uncharacterized. NCBI's taxonomy places the organism in Eukaryota, Viridiplantae, Streptophyta, Magnoliopsida, Poales, Poaceae. The record is from RefSeq and is a predicted model, not a curated record. The transcript is spliced from 4 exons.